AGCUUUGCACAGUGGUAGUAUCGUAACCAGUGAGGUUUAUGAGGUGUGAUUAUUGCCAAUUGAAAAAAAAAAAGACAAAUGUAAAACGUAAAACUAUAGAACUUCUACAAAACAAUGUAAGAGAAUAUCUUCAGGACUUAGAACAGG
This 147-nucleotide small nuclear RNA is filed under the name Moschus moschiferus (Siberian musk deer). Its description in RNAcentral is "U4 spliceosomal RNA (ENSMMSG00000022531.1)". It matches the Rfam family "U4 spliceosomal RNA". From Rfam's summary of the family: U4 small nuclear RNA (U4 snRNA) is a component of the major U2-dependent spliceosome. Lineage: Eukaryota; Metazoa; Chordata; Mammalia; Artiodactyla; Moschidae. The record is from RNAcentral.